CACGCCGUAAACGAUGAUCACUCGCUGUUUGCGAUAUACAGUAAGCGGCCAAGCGAAAGCGAUAAGUGAUCCACCUGGGGAGUACGAUCGCAAGGUUGAAACUCAAAGGAAUUGACGGGGGCCCGCACAAGCGGAGGAACAUGUGGUUUAAUUCGAUGAUACGCGAGGAACCUUACCUGGGCUUAAAUGGGGAUUGACAGCAGCUGAAAGGUUGCCUUCUUCGGACAAUCUCCAAGGUGC
This 240-nucleotide ribosomal RNA is filed under the name uncultured Bacteroidota bacterium. RNAcentral's name for it is "uncultured Bacteroidetes bacterium partial 16S ribosomal RNA". It matches the Rfam family "Bacterial small subunit ribosomal RNA", at positions 796 to 1041 of the family's 1533-position model. The record is from RNAcentral. Lineage: Bacteria; Pseudomonadati; Bacteroidota.